UACGGGAGGGAGCAGUGGGGAAUAUUGCACAAUGGGCGAAAGCCUGAUGCAGCUAUGCCGCGUGUAUGAAGAAGGCCUUAGGGUUGUAAAGUACUUUCAUCGGGGAGGAAAAACAAAACUAAUAAUUUUAUUUCUUGACGUUACCCGAAAAAGAAGCACCGGCUAACUCCGUGCCAGCAGCCGCGGUAAUACGGAGGGUGCUAGCGUUAAUCAGAAUUACUGGGCGUAAAGAGCACGUAGGUGGUUUUUUUAAGUCAGAUGUGAAAUCCCUGGGCUUAACCUGGAACUGCAUUUUGAAACUGAAAUACUAGAGUAUCGUAGAGGGAGGUAGAAUUCUAGGUGUAGCGGUGAAAUGCGUAGAUAUCUGGAGGAAUACCUGUGGCGAAAGCGGCCUCCUAAACGAAUACUGACACUGAGGUGCGAAAGCGUGGGGAGCAAACAGGGAUUAGAUACC
Molecule: ribosomal RNA, 454 nt
Filed under: uncultured bacterium
Lineage: Bacteria
Description: bacterial SSU rRNA
Rfam family: Bacterial small subunit ribosomal RNA
Source: RNAcentral